AUGGAGACCUGUAUGAAUGGCAUAACGAGGGCUUAACUGUCUCCUCUUUCCAGUCAAUGAAAUUGAUCUCCCCGUGCAGAAGCGGGGAUAAACACAUAAGACGAGAAGACCCUAUGGAGCUUUAGACACUAAGACAGAUCAUGUUAAACACCCCCCAAUAAAGGCCUAAACUUAAUGACCCCCUGUCCUAAUGUC
RNAcentral lists this ribosomal RNA (195 nucleotides) under Carangoides ruber (bar jack). Its description in RNAcentral is "partial large subunit ribosomal RNA". The record is from RNAcentral. Lineage: Eukaryota; Metazoa; Chordata; Actinopteri; Carangiformes; Carangidae.